UUCUUUUUGACCGAAGCAUAAAAAAGGAAGAAGAAAGAAACAAGUUUAGGGUUCGGCCAUUAGUAAAGCUCAAUCAAGGUAUGUAAUUAGCUCGAUUUUAGAUAAUUUUUACGUUUUUGAGAUUGUUGCUAUGUUAUCUACAAAGCCCAUGCUUGAAUUUUUGAUUUUCAUGAAUAUUUUGAGUUAUGCCAUUGAUGAAUAUUUGAGCUUUAUGAUGAUAAUUGAUGAAAUAUGAAAGAUAUGUUUUAGAUUAACAUGUUUUGUAUUAGAAUUUUGAUGAUUUUAAGUAAUUAGGGAUAAAUUGUAAAAAUAAUAAAUUGAGGGACUAAAAUGUGAAAUAAAUGAAAUGUGUGGACUUGUAUGAACACUAGGAGUAUUCGGCCUAAGCAUGGUGUGUGCAAAUUUUACAUAUUUUGUGUUUUGUGAAAUUUAGACUAAAUUGUAAAAGUAUAAAUAUUAGGGGUAAAAUGGUAAUUUGCUCAUUUAUGUGUUUUUGGGUGAAUUUGAUUGAAUAUUUGAUUAAAUAAGUUUAAUUUAUAUUAAUUUAGAUCAAGAAAAGGGAAAAUCAGAUUUGGAUCGGGGGGAAAACUAAAGUUGUCGAUUAGCCGUUCCGUUUCGAUUUUUCAUCGUCCGAGUUAAGUUUAUAAGAAAAUAGACGUACUUAGUUUUAAUUAAAUGCUAAAUAUAUAUGCUGAAAUGAAAUAUGUAAAUUUAUAUAUGCUAUAGCUGAAUAUGAAUAAGCUUGGCUACUAUAUUUCUAAAUUUGUUUCGACGGAGUUACGAAGUCCGAAAGCCCCGUAUGAACCUUAGGAAUAGUUAGGAUACAUAUGUCAGGACAUAGGAUUCCGAUAUAUGUGUGUGAGUAAGACCAUGACAUCGAUAUGUGAUUCCGAUAUGUGUUUACGAGUAAGACCUUGUCUGGGACAGUGACAUCGAUAUGUGACUACAUGUAAGACCACGUCUGGGAAGUUGGCAUUGUACGAUUUGUGUGAUUAUAAGAGUCUCCUAUCCAAUUCCGAAUGGUUCAUUGGGCAAAGAUAAAUUGAGUUCGAAUGUGUAAAAUGAGCUAUAUGCCAGGUAUGAUUUAACUCGUUACCUAUUUAAGGUAAAGCAAGUAGUUCCUUAAUUAAUUGUUGCAAAUCUUGAAAGGGUGCAAAUGAAGACUAUAUGCGAAUGUGAUAUGUGUAUUUGACUUUGUGAGUUAGUAACUUGUUUAUCUUGAAUAAUCUUUAAACAUGUGCAUAUAUGAUUAGGUAAUUUCGAUUAUAUAUUUAAUAUAUGAAUAUGAUGAAAUAUUUUGAUACAGAGGCUUACGUAAUCAAGUGUAAUUGGCCUUGAAAUUAUUAUUGAAAUGAAACUUAGUAUUAGGCAUGCAUGAUUAUAUAUAUUCGGCUUCAUGGUUAAUAUAUGCAUAUGAAACUAUGCGAUUACAUAUGAGUUUAUAUGUUAAUGGGUAUGUGAAGUAAGUUACAGUGACUAGUUGGUUGUGGAGUAUAAAUGAUAAUAAUGAUAAUUUGGCUUCAUGAGUAUUCUGCAGAGAGAUAAUUGAGUAUGAAAAUAUAUAUUUAUAAUGAAUUUCAUAUAUGUGAAUAUGAUAUAUAUAUAUUAUGAUACUAUAAUUUAGUUUAGUUUAAAUAAGUUGAUAAUAGUUUUGGGAUGUUUAAUUGCUUAUGACUUACUAAGCUUCAAAAGCUUACUUUGUGUUUUUUUGUGUGUUUCUAUUUUAUAAACUUUGGAUUCAAGUUACAAGCUCGGGGAUCGUCAGCAAAGUCUAUCACACUAUCUACAGCUUCGGUAUUUAAAUAAUUGAACUCAAAUUAUGGCGUGUAUAGGCUGGAUCAUGUUUUGAAAUGUUGGAUUUUGGUUUUGUAUAAAUUAAGCCAUGUGAAAAUGGCUUAACUUCCAUGCUUUAAUUCGGUUAUGUUUGAUUAUGGUUUAAGUUUAUUUUGGUUAUAUUGCUACGUGUCAUGGAUGAAAGGCAUUUGUGAUAUGUGUUUUAUGCAUUGAAGUUGUUUGAUGAUUUUGGAUGUGGUAGAGUGAAUCGGCUAUGAUAUAUAUAUGUAAUAGUAUGAAUUAUGUUUGUUAUAAAA
This 2090-nucleotide long non-coding RNA is filed under the name Gossypium barbadense (sea-island cotton). RNAcentral describes it as "long non-coding RNA (GBAR_LNC001483)". The record is from RNAcentral. Lineage: Eukaryota; Viridiplantae; Streptophyta; Magnoliopsida; Malvales; Malvaceae.